This is an RNA transcript of Dunckerocampus dactyliophorus (ringed pipefish), 10886 nucleotides long. It is a transcript of the gene named golgin A7 family, member Bb, with no coding region annotated. Lineage: Eukaryota; Metazoa; Chordata; Actinopteri; Syngnathiformes; Syngnathidae. The record is from RefSeq and is a predicted model, not a curated record. The transcript has 8 exons.
CGCACACGCUCGUGCCUGCUGUCUUCCCCGCCAGGCUGCGUGAGCUGCGCUACCGACAACACGAGCAGACGCGUGUCAUCCUCCACGCGGGACACAUUCCACAUCCACAGCAGCAACAUGGCGACAGAGUUCCACAGCCUCCAGGAGAUGAGGCGCAGCGCGUCCCUGGUGAUGAAAGUGUUCAUCCAGAGAGACUACAGCGAAGGAACCGUCUGCCGCUUCCAGACCAAGUUUCCCUCAGAGCUCGACAACAGGAUCGAACGGAACUUGCUGGAGGAAACGGUGAAGACCCUGAAUUCGUACUAUGUGGAGGCCGAAAAAAUCAGUGGACAGUCUUACCUGGAGGGAUGUCUGGCUUGUGCAACGGCAUACGUCAUUUUCCUCUGCAUGGAGACGCGCUAUGAAAAGGUUCUGAGGAAGAUAACCAGUUACAUCCAGGAGCAGAACGAGAAAAUCUACGGUCCUCGAGGUCUGCUGCUCACCGACCCCAUCGAGAGGGGAAUGAGAGUUCUGGAGAUCAGCCUGUUUGAGGACCGAGGCUCGGGCAGCUCCAGCCCCACCAGCAGCGUUUCGUCUGCAGGGGGAAGCGCUCGAUGACUGGAGGGCCAGCGCCAGGCUUACGGCUGCUAUGGACUCUCUGAAACACGCGCACCAGUGACCAUUGUUAAUCGAUCUCCUUGGUGCCGCCCUGUUUCCUGUGUCAUGGCUGGCUUGCUAGCUUGGAAAUGAAUCUUCGGUUCGAAGGAGGAGGACUGCAACAGGAGGAGUACUGCAGCAAUUUGUUUUAACAAGGAUACAAAAACGCUACAGGACAGCGAAACGGCACCAGGACGAAAAGCCACGGUCACAGGAGUGAAAUACACGGAGGCUUUGGGCAAGAGGCGGGAUACACCCUGGAUUGGUCACCAGUCAGUCACAGGACACAUUUGGACAAACCACCAUUCACACUCAUCAUCACAACUGUGGACAAUUUAGAGUGUAACGUGCAUGUUUUUGGGUUGUGGACAGAAACCACAGGGAGAAGGGGCAAAUCGUGCAAGCUAAACACAGAAAGGCCUCAAAGGAGAUUCGAACCUGCGCACUUCUCGCUCCACACUCACACUCACUGUGGUGUGGAAAGUUAAAAUUGAUUUAAAAACAACAAAGCGCUUUGCAAACGUCACUCAAAUCAUGUGAUUUCCCAUAUGAAGCGUUGGGUUAUGUUUCACAUGUACAGUACCAGUCAAAAGUUUAGACACGCCUUCUCAUUGAGUAGCACGUUGAAGUGUCUCUAAACUUUUUACCUAUACUGUGUAUGUAUUUCAUUUCAGCCAAUUACAAAACAUAUUUUUUAAUUAUGAUAGUACUGGGGCCGCGCAGUGGCCUAGUGGUUAGCAUGUUGGCCACACAGUUAGAAGAUUGGGAAGAUCUGGGGUUGAAUCUCCGUUUGGGCAUCUCUGUGUGGAGUUUGAAUGUUCUGCCCAUGCAUGCGUGGUGUGAGUGUGAAUGGUUUUAUGCGAUUGGGUGGCAACCAGUCCAGGGUGUACCCUGCCUCUCGCCUAAAGUCAGCUGGGAUAGGCUCCAGCAUACCUCUGCAAGCCCUGUGAGGACAAACGGCAUAGUAAAUGGAUGGAUGGCGACUCAGCACCUCCAAAUCCGAGGCCAUGGUUCUCAGUAGAAAGGGCAGAUUGCACUCUCCGGGUUGGGAAUGGGGUCCUGCCCCAGGUGGAGGAGUUCAAGUAUCUCGGAGGUCGACAGGCGGAUCGGAGCAGCGCCUGCAGUAAUGCGGUCGCUGUACCAGACCGUCGUGGUGAAGAGAGAGUGAGCCGGAAGGCAAAGUUCUCAAUUUACCAAUCUAUGAUCUAUCGAUCUAUGUUCCCACCCUCACCUACGGACUUUGGGUUGUGACCGAAAGAACGAGAUCGCGGAUACAAGCGGCUGAAAUGAGUUUCCUCCGUAGGGUGGCUGGACUCACCCUAAGAGAUAGGGUGAGGAGCUCAGUCAUCCAGGAGGGGCUCAGAGAAGAGCCAGUUGAGGUGGCUUGGGCAUCUAGUCUGGACGCCUCCCUGGUGAGGUGUUCCGGGCAUGCCCGGCUGAGAGAAGGCCCCGGGGCAGACCUAGGACACACUGGAGGGAUUAUGUCUCACAGCUGGCCUGGGAACGCCUUGGUGUCCUCCCCGAAGAGGUGGCCGGGGACCGGGAAGCCUGGCCUUCCCUACUGAGACUUCUGCACCCGCGACCUGGACCCGGAUAAGCCGAGGGAAAUGGAUGGAUGGAUGGAUAAACUUUAUGCAAUUUUGUUCUUAAUAUUAUGACUUUACUCUCUUAAUAUUUCAUCUUUAUUCUUGUAAAAUUGCUGCUUUUUCCAUUGUUGUUGUUUUCUUUUAUUUUCUUGUUUAAUUGUAUUUUUUUAGAAUGUGCUGAGGGCCAAUAAAAGAAAAAGCGGGCCAUAAAUGCUCCAAUGACACCACUGAUGUAAACGUUCCGAUAGCUCGGGCUUACUUUUGCCCAUUUCUUCUGGUUUUAUUUGGGUUAUUGUCUGUCAGGAAGAAUAUUGUAACUUAUCAUGAUUGUGGUUUUAUGUCAGCACCACAUGUUCGAUGUAGACAUCGUGUGCUUGUAGGAGGGAUUUGUGAUUGAAAGCAUGCACGUUGUGGUCCUGUGUUGUGUGCCUUAGUUUGUUACAGCACUGGAAAACAGCUAGGACAGAGACACACACACACACACACACACACACGCACACACACACACACAUAGCAUCUUCUUGUAGCCAACAGGAUCCAGUGGACAUCAUUCAAUGACACCAUUUUUCAGUCCUCUUGAGCCAAACUUUAUCACAGUUCUGUUAUUGUAUUCACUGAUGUCUUUCUGUCAUCGUGCGCUUCCACUCUUUCCAAAAAGCGAUGUAAUCCUUCUUCCAGAUAAAGUAGUCGAGCAAAGAUAUCCGUCGCUGUCAUUUUUUCCCUUUUUCUUGGGAAUUAGCUCAUACAUUCAACAAUCCUCUGACAGUCGGUAACCUCUGCCAUGUUUUCCAACGGGACGGUUUUAUCCGGUGAAUAAUGAGCAGGAAGAUGAAUAUUGCAUUAAAUCGAACAAAGAGUCAUCUGUUUGCAACAUUCUAAAAUGUCAUCCCACUUUGGCGUAUUUUUAGGAAAAUAUACAAACUCUUUUCACAGGAACAGCUUUGAUGAUAAAUAAUUAAGGCUGUGGAGAUUAGCUAUAAUAAGUUCUUUUAAAAACCAUGCACAUUGGGGAUCCUUGUUGUUCAUGCAAGUUGAACCUUUGUCAUAAAACUCAGCAAAAAAUAUAAAAUAUUGGACUUUAUCAGACCGCAUCUUCUCGGGCCUGCCUGCAGCUGUUCACGCUCUCUUGCUCGCCGACGGUUCUUUGGCUCGUUAAGCCAGCAUGACACCAUGGCUGGUCGGUCCAGCAGAGAUCCUCAGUUGUGACUUUAAUCGUUUCAAUGCUGUUUAUCUGUCAUUAACAACAUCUGAGGGAGCUUUUUUUUUAUUCUUUAAAAUGUGAGUUGUUUUGUAUUUACAGGUGUGUCCAGCAGAUAAAUGGAUUAUUGUCAGGACGGCUCCAUUUUUGACAAGAAUGUGCAAAAUAUAGUGUAUAACACGUCCAUGCUUCACACAAAGGUGACCUCGCUACAACCUACGUGAUGAAGUUGCAGUGGUGGUAAAGGCAUUCAAAUUGGAUGAGAGCGGUGUUGUUUUGUGGGUAUUCCAAGGAGAACUAAUCACCGGUGAAUCAUUUCGAAAUUUCACGCUGUCUGCAGCUUGUGAAAUACAUUGUUUUGGGUAAGAGCUUGAGCCAAAAUAUUGAAGUUUAUAAAACUGUUUAGGUAAUCAUGCACCUAUGUUUUUGGAAAUGAAAAAUGUGUCUUUUACAGUUAUUGCGUAAAAAUCUGUGCUCGUGUGGUGUUCUAAGAUAAAUCACCAUGAAAAGACAAGGAAGUGUGACUUUUUUUUGCAUUGCUGCAAAUUGUAAGCAAGUACUGCAAACCUGCAAAAAUGUAUUAUUCGACAGAGUCAUGAACGAGUCAGUCAAAACGCCCACGUUUUUUACUGAAUCCGAACUCACAGGUACUCGUCUCUGUUAACGUGUUCACUUACUCACCCGGGCCGCCGCUAGCUAAAUGAAAAAAGGAAACAAGUUAAUAUGUCACUAAUUGUGCAACUGUUUCUCUAACAGCAUUUCAACAAACGAGCCGUGAUUUCCGGUGUAUCAGCUGCUACUUUUUUCUCACAGUGAUGCGGCUAAUUUAAGGCUAAAAGAACUGCACUUCCCAUGAUGCUUAGCCUGCAGCUUCAGGAAGUAGUGAAGUGGACGAGUGAAGUGGAUGCUAAUCUCACGUUUUGCAGUCUUAUGCAGCGAUCGUGUUUUGAUCUGACACAUCUUAAGUAAGUUUGAUCAAGUGUAAAAUGACUACAGUUUCAUUUUGGACUGCUCGGCCCGCCAACUGUCCACUAUCAACAACGGGUUUUCGAAAGGCUGGAUGAGGAGGACAGCUCAAAACUAAAGGGCUAAUUUGUCUCGAGACGAAAGUGACACCGAGAGUGACAACAAAAGAGAGAGAGAGACUGACAAAGUGCGUGACAAAGGAAUUAUGAGGCUGUUCAAUUGUGAUGCUGAAGAAGAAGACUUUAGUGGUUUUAGUUCCCAGGAGGAGGAUGAGGACAGCGAUGAAUGUUACACACACAGUUCGGCAAACAUUUAUUUAAUCAAAAGUUAAAAAAUCUUUCUGUGUAACAUCUUAUAUACUGUAUGUACAAAUCAGUUUUUUCUUUAAAUUUAGUGAGUGUGGUUUACACACCGGUGCGCUCUAAAGUCCAGAAUUACAGGUUUAGACUCGUCAAAUAAGCCUUUCCCCUUCCAGACUCGACAAAACGAACAAUUAACUGCCUGAAGGUGCAGCUUUCACAGAUUGGUGGGUGCUCCGCCAAAGAGUUUCCCCUAACUAUUAGACGGUAAAUACCUUUCCAACAUGGUGGCCAGCACACGCAUACACACUGCGAAGUGUCAUCACCAAAUAGAAAGGAGCUGCUGUCUGUUGACGACACGUUUCAUUCUACUCCGCUUUUAACACAAGUUUAAAAAGUCAGUCCGCUGCGGAAUCACUUAAAUCAGGGGUGCCAAAACUUUUUCCACCGAGGGCUGCGUACUGAAAAAUCUAAGAAUGCGGAGGCCACUUUGAUGUUUUAUAUUUUGCAGCUACAGCAUGCUAAGAAGUUUACUAUAUUUUUUUGAAAAGCCUCCAUCUGAAGCUUUAGGUGACAAAGCAUAUUAUUAAUAUCAACUUUUUCUCCUUAGAAUACACACGUUUGUGCUCACUUUUACGUUUACUUUUUUUUUUUUACACAUAUUUCAACUUUAUUCCUGUGAAGCUUUUCUUUUGUAAUAUUAUGACUUUAUUCAAAAACAUUUUGACUUUGUUCUUAAAAUAGUAUAACUUUUUUCCCAACCAAAUUGCACAUUUAUUCUUUGUUUUUUUUUUCUUCUCAUGAUAUCAUGACUUGAAAAAAAAAUCCUUUUUUUCUUUAAUAUUUCAACUUUAUGCUUCCAAAAUAUUUUUUUUCCUCAUAAUAUUACGACUUUAUUCUUGUAAAAUUCACACUUUUUCUUGUAAGAUUACCACUUUUCUCUCUUAUUAUUAUAUAACUUUAUUCUCCAAAUAUUUUGACGUUAUUUUCGUAAAAUUACUGCUCUUUUCUUUCAUAUUUGCUGUUGUUUUUUGUUUUUUUUAAUGUUCCUGUUCCAUUUUACUUUUACAAUGUGUCGAGUGCAAUUAAAACAACAGAUACGAGCGGCAAAUGGCCUACGGGCCGCACUUUGGACACCCCUGACUGAAAUGACAGUGUUUACGCCUUAAACAUUUUGCACUUUGAAUUCAGUAUGUUUUUGUGACAUUUCUUCAGGUCUUUUGGCGAGUUUGUAUUCAACUAGCUUCACGAGAUGAGCGGUACACAAGCAGAAAACUCAUUCAGAGAAACUAUUUAAGUCUUUGUGCUGCUUAAGUAGCAAUAUUGUAAGUGAUAAUAAUUUGACUUUACAUAUGAUUGUAUCUAUUUUUGCUAAUAGGUUUUGGCUUCUUCUCGUACUUUGUAAGGGUUAGUUCGUAUUGUAUGUAAUGUUUUGAAGCACAAAACUGUAUGUGUGUUACCUUUUUUUGCACAUUUAUUCAUAAAGAAAAAAACGCCCUUGAGGCAUGUGUUAAACUAUUUUUUAACAACUGCAAGAGUUCACCGCUCUCUUUACACUGCCAUCAUGACCUUUUGUGAAAUGGGCAGGGAAAUCACCGCAGUUACAUUAAAUGCUCACUUUGGUUCCAUUUGAUUACCAAGAGAAGAUCAUAUUCCAGGGACAGGAUGUUGCUUAAUAAAAGCUUCACGUUCUCCUUCCUCCUUGAAUCUAAUUUCUUUAUAAUAUGGUGUUCACUGAAUAGCUUUAUCAGCGGGGAGGUCCGAUACAUUGUAAUGAAAUAACGCAAUUAAACUAUGGCGAAUGAUGAUAGGUGCCUGGAGCGUGAUUUAAUGAGAACUGUGUUGGAUUUUGUGUGAAAAGUAAGGUAAGUUAGUGUUUCCCACAGGACUGCAGUCUAUUUGUGGCAGUGAGUUGAAGGGCACGGGUCUAACGUAAUGAUGUAAUCGUUGAAUGCGCAUAAUUGGCCAUGACGCAUUUGCAAAAAGCGAGUAAAUAAAUGUGUUUACCACUACGAAUGAACUCCUUUUUGUCGGUGCUUUAGCCUCACAAACAAUCAAAAACAGCCUGUGAGUGUUUUUAGAUGGGGGCGGGGGUCCGCAGCAGCAUAAGAAGAGCAGCGAGUCAGUCUUCAAAGGACCCUUCUCUAGAUUUGCGGCUAGUUACUCGUUUUUUUAAAAUGACCAUCUAGAGUGAUCUGAUAGUUGGCAACACCAAUCCCUCCUGCUCCGUGCUUUUAUUCUCUGGCAGACCAGGUGCGUUAUAGUCUGUUUACGAGUGAGGGUGCACAGGUAGCGCCAAAUCUAUUUGUGGCGGGGCGCAUGAACGUAUGGAAAACACUGUAAGUAGUAAGUAUUUUGGUGUUCAUGUAUUAUUUUAAUGAAAAUAAUGUUCCCUAACACUAAUCUUCACACCCGAACCACUCAGAAAAAAUAAUAAAGUAGAAUUUCAUGGAAAAUAUCAUGCUUUAGAGCCCAAAUACGUUUUCAGCACAACAUGAUACAAUAUCCGCCAUGUUUUGGAUUUGAAACGAAUGUAAUGUCGUGCUUAACAAUUUGUAUGAUUUCCUACUAAAUUGGAGUGACGUCAUGCAGAUUCCAGCAAAUAAAACGAAACGUCUUCUUGUGCUCUCUCACACAAAAACGUCGACUUUGCUGUGCUGUGGAAUUAUUAAUAGUUAACAAAAUGUAAGCCACCACGACAGGCAGAUGGUCUGGCAUAUGUUCCCUAGGAUACACACACACAAACACACACACACACACACACACAACUUGUAGCUUGGAGACCUGGUGUUCCUCAGCGUUCCGGUAAGCCCGAACAUAGAAUGAGAGUGGCAUUGUGCACAUACAGAUGGCGACCUCGGCGUGUCCGUAUUGAAAGCGGCUGGUGGAACCAGUCAGUUCUGAGCAGUGAGUUCUCCACUGCGGCCUCCGCUUAUUGACUUGGACUCAGUUCAAAUCCAGCUGAGACAAAUGCCAGGUGAUGACGUGAGGGCUAUGCGAGUCUAACAGAGUUAGUUCUAGCAUGCUCCCUGCAAGUUCCUGCAUAGUCCAGAGGUGGGAACAGCUGUACACGAGCAAUAUCACUGAUCCAGAGAGAGUUUUAGGAUGAAGAGAAAGAGGAUAGAUAGUUUCUGUGCAUCCUUUGUUAAAACGACGAGAGCUGAGUGAAGGAGAAGGGAGGCGGCUACAGUAGUCCACUCUGGAGAUGGUUAGAGAUGAGAAGAAGCAUGCCGAUGGGUGACAGCCAGAAUGAACAAGCUGACCACGUGCAUUGUGCAGAAGACCGUGUCUUCCCAAAGUAAGCCACCUGGGCUGCAGAAGAGAACAGACAAAGAAGUUGGACAAGAUCUGUGCCUUCAUGGCUGACAGGACUCACAUGGGAAGGCGUAUUAGUCAUGCAAGGCAUUGGAUCGGAGCAGAUCCAACAGUUCAACCUCUACUGUAUGGUUGAACUGUUCAAGGGCUCUGGUCAAGGAUUUUUCCCAUUGGAAAUAAUGGAAAUAGAAAUAUUUAUGUCUAUAACUUGAUAAGGGAUAACCGCUGUUAAGGGUAAAUUCUAAAAACAAUAAAGUACACACAGUACUUUAAAUGCUUAAAUGCAAAUCAAUUAGCUCCGAAGUCUCCUAAAGUCGUCGGGUACAUGCUCUACAAAAACAAAUAAGCGCUGGCGUCUCUAAUUAGUGCCUGCUCAAAAAAUAGUGGCAUUAACAACUGUGGCUGCAGGCAACCUCCUGAUGUAUUUUUGUACUACCUUCACAAGAUGGCAGUAGCUCAUCGGUGGUCUGCCUUGAGCAGCUGUAUCUACCUCUGCAUGCGCUUUCAAAUGCUGGUUGUGCCACUCAGCUGUUGGUGUGAAACUCAUCCAUUUACAUCUGCUGUAAAAAUGAACCCGGUUUGCUCCUUACCGCUGUUACAAUAUUGGUUCUGUUGCAAUAUACUUCUUCAUAAAUGACUACGUGCUCAAAGAUGUUUGCCUUUCAAUUUUCUCACGCAAUCCAAAUCCUUCCUCAAGUUAAAAAAAAACAAACAGUUGUUAUAGAAAUGAGUUUUCAAAUUUCGGAAAUAACAGCUUAUCUCCAAAUAUCGCCUACUUCCAAUUAAGCCGAUCUCGCUCAUCCCCGGACCACUCACCCACGCAUGCGGACCCAUCAUAGUUGGGCUCAAAGCCCUGGUUGCAUCUCUUCUUGGCGCGGCAUUUAAAACUGCCGUAGGUGUUGGUGCACACGGGACGGUCAGAGGGACACACAGAGGGAAACUGGGUACACUCAUCUUUAUCUGAGGAACAGGAGGAAGGGGAGAAGGAGAAGGCACCCAAGCUUCAUGAUUCUGUACACAAGACCGCAACGAGCCGGAGGUUUCAACUUACCAAUGCAGCGGCCAUUUUCAUUCAGAGCAAAGCCGUGACCGCACUGCAAGAUAAAGAGUUAAACUAUGUGUGUCAACCUUGCCAAUAAACUAACAAACCAAGAAUGCAUGGUUGUAAAUGACCAUAAUGUACCCGACUCCAUCAGGCAGCUUCACAUUUACAUUUAUGUUCAUGCAGGAAGUGUAGUUGGCAAGUUUGAAGCAAGACAGCCAUUCAAUGUGGCCUUCUACGACCACCGUAAUGUACCUCUAUUUCCACAGUGGGAGUGAUUUCCUCUUUGUCUCUCGGAUAGUGGAUCUCCAGCACAGAGUUGAUCUCUGAUGGCUCCAAGGGUCGAGCGAUGGAGCGACCAUCCGGCCAGUACACCUCCACGUUCGUGGCCACGUCCUUACCUUAGAAGUCAUCCAGCAGAGACACAACGCUCAUUUUACGCUCGUCAAGCUGAUCUAACGUAAAAGCUACAUAGAAAACAGCAAAUCACAUUGGGUCAUUGGUUGGAAAUACAAGUGUAUGCAAACGUAAGUGUUGUUAAUUAUUUAUAAUUUACAUAUAAAUAAAACAUUACAGUCCUCCCUCGUUUAUCGUGGCUAAUUGGUUCCAGACACGACUGCGAUAUGCAAAUUUCCGCAAAGUAGGGUUCAACUUCAAUAAAUUGAAUAUUUUUGUAAGAGCACAGAAAACCAGACUUUAUAAAAUAUGUUUGUACUUUUUUAAAAACCAUUAUUAGAGCCCUGUAGACAUGAAAUAACACCCCUAUAGUCACCUUUAAACUCCAAAAACAGAUGUUUCAUUUAUUAAUUUAUACAGGUAUAUAUUUUUAAAUACUGCCAUACAGUGAGGGGUCGAUGUUCGAACGUAACGUAGCGAGGGAUGACUGUAAUUGUUAAAUUGUUGAAAAAUAAUGAUUCAUCUUUAGUAAUAUACCCUAAGCGAGGGGUCUCAAACUCAAUUUCACUGGGGGCCACUGGAGGAAGAGUCCGGGUGAGGCUGGGCCGCAUCAAGUAUUGGGAGUAGGGCUGGGAAUCUCAGGGUACCUCACGAUACGAUACAAUUCACAAUACAUCCAUGUGAUAACACCACUGUUAGUUCAGUGUUGGUGUUUGCUUGCCCUUGUAAGUAUGUAUGCAACACUCAGCUUGCCCGGAUGUUGCGGGCUGCAGUUACACUACUCUUUGAUGUCCAGUCGUGGGCCGCAAGAUACUAUUUGGUGGGCCGCAAAUGGCCCACGGGCUGCUAGUUUGAGACCCCUGCCCUAAACAAUAUUAAAAGUGUGGCAUAUACAGUAUUUGAGUGUAUUUUUUUCACAUCAACAUGUAAAACUCAUGUUGAUGGGAAAUAGUCUCAUUCUUCUUUAAUAUACUAUAUUGUAAAUUCUUGUCAGAAAUGUUGAUCCAUAGUACCGUACAAUCAGCUUUGCGCUAGUAUUAAAUAUGUGUACAGUACUGUGCAAAGUACUUCAAACAUAAUUAGUUGCUUUAGUAAUGCAAUAAUGAACAAUUGAACAAUUGAAAAAUUGUAAAAGGCUAUAGUGCCAAGUAUUUUGUGUGAGUUCUGUGCUAUUUUACCUGUCACAUACAUAUAGCAUGCAGCCAAAUUUACCCAAAAAACAUUUCCAACACUGCAAAGUUAUCUAAAAAAAACUUUAAAAAUAAUAAUGCAUUACAUGUAAUGCACUACGUGCAGGAGCUUUAAUUAAAAACUCAUUCCUAAUGCCUUCCUACUAUUUACAGUUUUAUUAUGCUGUUAAAAAAGGCAUUAAACCAGUAAGUGGUAACCUAAGACUAUGACAAAAUGUUGUGUCUGUUCUGAAUCGGCACAAAGAAAUGUCUCUCCGC